GUGCCACAGGCUAAGCAGCUCUUAUCUACACAUGCUCCCUCCCAUGAUGCUCUUCUCACCUCGGGCCCAGUGACCAUGGACCAAGAACUCUAAAAUGCACCUGAACAUCAGGGACCAAUGAGAAGAAACUGGUUUGGAGCCAAACAGCCUGGAUCAUGGCCCUUGCCCGGACUCACAUUCGGUACAGCUGCGCGCGAACUGUACCGAGGGUGUAACACCAAAACCGGGUGUUACA
Molecule: long non-coding RNA, 235 nt
Organism: Alexandromys fortis (reed vole)
Lineage: Eukaryota; Metazoa; Chordata; Mammalia; Rodentia; Cricetidae
Exons: 3
Source: RefSeq, a predicted model, not a curated record